This 886-nucleotide long non-coding RNA is filed under the name Pan troglodytes (chimpanzee). RNAcentral describes it as "long non-coding RNA NONPTRT000954". Lineage: Eukaryota; Metazoa; Chordata; Mammalia; Primates; Hominidae. The record is from RNAcentral.
UGAGGCAGUAGAAACCUGGGUUCCUGAUGACUGUGGAGCUGCCAAACUAAUCUGGACCUCCAGAUUCCAUACCUGCAAGACACAUGAACAUCUGUCUUAUCAGCCAUCCCUGGAGAGGAUCCCUGGAGAGGAGAAAACCCAGGCCAUCCGGAUUUUCUGCAUGGGAGACCUGGCUGACCGCUGCCUGGGCUGCUUUCAAGUCUCACCGAAUUAUGAAGUCAACUACUGGGUGUUUAGAAUGUCUCAAGUUCAAAGACUAGCAGGCUAGAAGCAGACAUCUGAGGGAACUUCAGGCACCUUAGCAGGAGGAAUAUUAAGAUGUGGCACGCUGAGCUUAUCGGGAGACUGGAUAGGGAUCAGAAGGAAUACAUUUCUAUUCUGCGAGCUGCAGAGCUCAGGAGUCGUUCUUCUGAUAUCAGGCCCAUUGGUGGGUUUAGUUUUGGUGCAAGUUUCUUGGCCAUGGAGCUUAACUAGGAGGAAGCGAAUUGCAAUCAUUUUGGCCUGUGCUCCUUAGAGUCCCAGGGAUCAAUGGGAGGUGAGUGGCUGGGUGGGCGGGUAGAGCAAGGAGAACAGGGUACAGGAGACACUGCCACUUAUUUAUUUGUUUUUCCUACAAAUAUUUAUUGAGCCUCUAAGUAUGUACCAGGCACGUUCCAGAAGAGGGACUCAGAGGUCGUUGGAAGUGUGUGCCAGGAACCACUGAGCAAGGCCCUUGUCUCUCUUUGUGGGCCUUCUUCAGACACUUCCCCCUCAUACACGGGAUCUGGGAUCAUUAAACAUCUCAUUGUCCUUUGGAUUCACCAGCUUUUGAAAGUGCUGCUCCUGCUGGAAAAGCCCUCGCUUCCACUCUUCACCUAGAAAACUUCUAUUCAUUCAUUAAGGCCUG